GGUUCCUGCGUUUACUUCCCAUAAAACCGUCAACCGUGUCGCACCACAGAAACAAGAUGUUCUCUCUCUACUUCUGCCUCUUUACCUUGGUGGCUGUGCAUGCACGGCCUGAAACACGCCAGGUGAUUCAUGAUGUACCGUCGUGCACACCCGGAGAAGACUGGAAGGAAGACUGCAAUAGUUGCUCCUGCACUGGCAAUGGUGUGCCAAUAUGUACCCUUAUGGCAUGUUCCGUUCCCAAGGUCGAAAAGAGACAGGUGAUCAGAAACGACCGAACAGCCUGCACCCCCGGUGACGACUGGAAUGAUGGUUGUAAUGACUGUUUUUGUACUGAAACGGGGCUCCCAGCGUGCACCAAGAAGUCAUGCAAUGAAGUUUGAGAUAGCUGCAAGUGCCAUCUCUCGAUGAUAAGUGGAAUGUUCCAGAGGAAAUUUUAGAGAAUGUUUUACAUGUUAUGUUCAUCUCUACUUGAAUAAACGAGUGUCUACAAUA
This is a long non-coding RNA of Lineus longissimus, 492 nucleotides long. RefSeq lists it as uncharacterized. The transcript is spliced from 3 exons. NCBI's taxonomy places the organism in Eukaryota, Metazoa, Nemertea, Pilidiophora, Heteronemertea, Lineidae. The record is from RefSeq and is a predicted model, not a curated record.